This 253-nucleotide ribosomal RNA is filed under the name uncultured bacterium. RNAcentral's name for it is "partial 16S ribosomal RNA". It matches the Rfam family "Bacterial small subunit ribosomal RNA", at positions 524 to 776 of the family's 1533-position model. The record is from RNAcentral.
UACAGAGGUCUCAAGCGUUGUUCGGAUUCAUUGGGCGUAAAGGGUGCGUAGGUGGCGCGCUAAGUCCGUUGUGAAAGUCAAAGGCUCAACCUUCGAAAGCCGAUGGAUACUGCAGGGCUAGAGUCCGGAAGAGGCGAGUGGAAUUCCUGGUGUAGCGGUGGAAUGCGCAGAUAUCAGGAGGAACACCAAUAGCGAAGGCAGCUCGCUGGGACGGUACUGACGCUAAGGCGCGAAAGCGUGGGGAGCGAACAGG